RNAcentral lists this unclassified non-coding RNA (1118 nucleotides) under Hevea brasiliensis (rubber tree). Lineage: Eukaryota; Viridiplantae; Streptophyta; Magnoliopsida; Malpighiales; Euphorbiaceae. The record is from RNAcentral.
GGGAGAAGCACAUGAAUGCAAUUUUAUUUAUUUAAGUAUCCCUGGCCAAUAGCUACUGGUUAAUUUUUAAAAAGUUUAAUAUGUACUCAAGAGCAGGAUUUACUUUAUACCGAGUAGUUAUGUUCAGAAUACUUGAAACAUUACAACUGUGACACAAGACAAAGAUGCCCUCAACCUAAGGUGGAUCAGAGUAAUCCACUAGAUGAAGACAAACUUCAGAUGAACAAAAGCAAGUAGUAAAAAUAUUGUGCUGGUUACAUGCUUAUUAUACUUGAAACAGAUCCAUAGCUCCAUAGAUGAACUAAAGAAAUCUAAAGAGGCGUAGGAUCUCCCAAACUUAGUUGUCAGGCUCCAUACGAUUCAAGUGGAACGCACCUUCAUUAUUGUGCUGCACUUGAACUUUGAACUUCUCUUCCUUCCCUCCCCUGCUGGUUUUGAUGACCAAAUGAAGCUUUGUAGAAUCAUCAGCCAUCUCAGCAUUAGCAUGAACAAUCUCUUGUAGUUUAUAUGGAUGUAUAGAGUUGGAUCUCUGCUGGAUGGUCUUUAUUGCAUGCUCUGCAGCUUCUUCAACAACAGGAUCAUGCACAGGCACUGAUUUCAAUCCACUGCUCUGCUCUACUUGCUUAACUCCUAGAUCUGAAGAAGUAAAGGUAGGAACGUCUUCAACAUGCUUGAACUCUUGAAGUUCCUUAAAAUUCAACCAUGGUUUGACCCAGACCUUAGCCUCAUAGAGUUUCUUUUUUCCAGCAUCCAUGACCUCAAGAGUGAGGUGGUGCAGUUUACCUGCAACAGUUUGUUCUUGCGCCUUCACUACUCUGGCCAAUUCAAUCAUUGCAUUCUCCUUCUUAUUAUGCUCAUCUACGGCAAAUUUAGCAAGGCUAUGGAUCUCGUCACUGUUCUGCGAGGAACCAUGAGAAUCAUGAACUCCACCAAGAGUAGCCAUCUCUUCACUGCAGAAUCCUCCUGAUUUUCCCUGUUCGCUUAACCCAAACGCAGAAACCAGAAAAAGCACUAUCAGUAUUGCUCUACUUCGAAUCACUCUCAUCUGUUGUGGUGAAUUUCAAUUCCUUCUUCUAAAGCCAAAAAAAAAUGCCCUUUUGUCCUUUAUACUAUUAUUA